GUCGAGCGGCGGACGGGUGAGUAAUGCCUAGGAAAUUGCCCUGAUGUGGGGGAUAACCAUUGGAAACGAUGGCUAAUACCGCAUAAUGCCUACGGGCCAAAGAGGGGGACCUUCGGGCCUCUCGCGUCAGGAUAUGCCUAGGUGGGAUUAGCUAGUUGGUGAGGUAAUGGCUCACCAAGGCGACGAUCCCUAGCUGGUCUGAGAGGAUGAUCAGCCACACUGGAACUGAGACACGGUCCAGACUCCUACGGGAGGCAGCAGUGGGGAAUAUUGCACAAUGGGCGCAAGCCUGAUGCAGCCAUGCCGCGUGUGUGAAGAAGGCCUUCGGGUUGUAAAGCACUUUCAGUCGUGAGGAAGGUGGUAGUGUUAAUAGCACUAUCAUUUGACGUUAGCGACAGAAGAAGCACCGGCUAACUCCGUGCCAGCAGCCGCGGUAAUACGGAGGGUGCGAGCGUUAAUCGGAAUUACUGGGCGUAAAGCGCAUGCAGGUGGUUUGUUAAGUCAGAUGUGAAAGCCCGGGGCUCAACCUCGGAAUAGCAUUUGAAACUGGCAGACUAGAGUACUGUAGAGGGGGGUAGAAUUUCAGGUGUAGCGGUGAAAUGCGUAGAGAUCUGAAGGAAUACCGGUGGCGAAGGCGGCCCCCUGGACAGAUACUGACACUCAGAUGCGAAAGCGUGGGGAGCAAACAGGAUUAGAUACCCUGGUAGUCCACGCCGUAAACGAUGUCUACUUGGAGGUUGUGGCCUUGAGCCGUGGCUUUCGGAGCUAACGCGUUAAGUAGACCGCCUGGGGAGUACGGUCGCAAGAUUAAAACUCAAAUGAAUUGACGGGGGCCCGCACAAGCGGUGGAGCAUGUGGUUUAAUUCGAUGCAACGCGAAGAACCUUACCUACUCUUGACAUCCAGAGAACUUUCCAGAGAUGGAUUGGUGCCUUCGGGAACUCUGAGACAGGUGCUGCAUGGCUGUCGUCAGCUCGUGUUGUGAAAUGUUGGGUUAAGUCCCGCAACGAGCGCAACCCUUAUCCUUGUUUGCCAGCGAGUAAUGUCGGGAACUCCAGGGAGACUGCCGGUGAUAAACCGGAGGAAGGUGGGGACGACGUCAAGUCAUCAUGGCCCUUACGAGUAGGGCUACACACGUGCUACAAUGGCGCAUACAGAGGGCAGCAAGCUAGCGAUAGUGAGCGAAUCCCAAAAAGUGCGUCGUAGUCCGGAUUGGAGUCUGCAACUCGACUCCAUGAAGUCGGAAUCGCUAGUAAUCGUGGAUCAGAAUGCCACGGUGAAUACGUUCCCGGGCCUUGUACACACCGCCCGUCACACCAUGGGAGUGGGCUGCAAAAGAAGUAGGUAG
Molecule: ribosomal RNA, 1347 nt
Filed under: Vibrio owensii
Lineage: Bacteria; Pseudomonadati; Pseudomonadota; Gammaproteobacteria; Vibrionales; Vibrionaceae
Description: 16S ribosomal RNA
Rfam family: Bacterial small subunit ribosomal RNA
Source: RNAcentral